GAUGAACGCUGGCGGCGUGCCUAAUACAUGCAAGUCGAGCGAACAGACGAGGAGCUUGCUCCUCUGACGUUAGCGGCGGACGGGUGAGUAACACGUGGAUAACCUACCUAUAAGACUGGGAUAACUUCGGGAAACCGGAGCUAAUACCGGAUAAUAUAUUGAACCGCAUGGUUCAAUAGUGAAAGACGGUUUUGCUGUCACUUAUAGAUGGAUCCGCGCCGCAUUAGCUAGUUGGUAAGGUAACGGCUUACCAAGGCAACGAUGCGUAGCCGACCUGAGAGGGUGAUCGGCCACACUGGAACUGAGACACGGUCCGGACUCCUACGGGAGGCAGCAGUAGGGAAUCUUCCGCAAUGGGCGAAAGCUUGACGGAGCAACGCCGCGUGAGUGAUGAAGGUCUUCGGAUCGUAAAACUCUGUUAUUGGGGAAGAACAAAUGUGUAAGUAACUAUGCACGUCUUGACGGUACCUAAUCAGAAAGCCACGGCUAACUACGUG
Molecule: ribosomal RNA, 497 nt
Filed under: uncultured bacterium
Lineage: Bacteria
Description: partial 16S ribosomal RNA
Rfam family: Bacterial small subunit ribosomal RNA
Source: RNAcentral